GACGUGGUGAACACGCACCCGGGGCUGUCGUUCCUGAAGGAGGCGUCCGAGUUCCA
Molecule: small RNA, 56 nt
Filed under: Pan troglodytes (chimpanzee)
Lineage: Eukaryota; Metazoa; Chordata; Mammalia; Primates; Hominidae
Description: retained intron
Source: RNAcentral